RNAcentral lists this ribosomal RNA (466 nucleotides) under uncultured bacterium. RNAcentral's name for it is "partial 16S ribosomal RNA". It matches the Rfam family "Bacterial small subunit ribosomal RNA", at positions 28 to 507 of the family's 1533-position model. The record is from RNAcentral.
GAUGAACGCUGGCGGCGUGCUUAACACAUGCAAGUCGAACGAUGAAGCCCAGCUUGCUGGUUGGUUUAGUGGCGAACGGGUGAGUAACACGUGAGUAACCUGCCCUUAACUCUGGGAUAAGCCUGGGAAACUGGGUCUAAUACCGGAUAGGAGCGUCCACCGCAGGGUGGGUGUUGGGAAGAUUAAUCGGUAUUGGAUGGCCUGGCGGCCUAUCAGCUUUGUGGUGAGGUAAUGGUUCACCAACGCGACGACGGGUAGCCGGCCUGAGAGGGUGAACAGCCACACUGGGACUGAGAGACGGCGCAGACUCCUACGGGAGGCAGCAGUGGGGAAUAUUGCACAGUGGGCGCAAGCCUGAUGCAGAGACGCCGCGUGAGGGAUGACGGCCUUCGGGUUGUAAACCUCUUUCAGUAGGGAAGAAGCGAAAGUGACGGUACCUGCAGAAGAAGCACCGGCUAACUACGUG